Non-coding RNA from Cinara cedri, 1074 nucleotides. NCBI's taxonomy places the organism in Eukaryota, Metazoa, Arthropoda, Insecta, Hemiptera, Aphididae. The record is from the annotation of a GenBank genome assembly.
CCAGAAGUAGAUAGGUAUAAUGAAAAAAUCUAAAAAACAAAUCACAUAUUUAUUAUUUAAAUACUUAUUUAUUUAUUUAAAAUUCAAAAAACAAUUGUUUGGCUUAAUAAAUAUUUAAAAUUAAAGAAAUCAUUUUCUUUUUCUAUUACAUUAUUAACAUAGACGAUUUUCUUGUUGCUUGAUACCCGCUUUUAUUGAAUCUGGUCGUCAUAUCAAGAAUAUUACCAUACGUAGUAGAAAGAAACAAAAUAUAGUACAUUUAGAUAAUAGUAUUAUACAUUAGAUUUAAUAACAAAAUUUCAAAUUUAAUUUUAAAAACAUACGUUUAUAAAACCACCACUAGUUAAUCCAAUUUAUUAUAUUUUUAUAAAUUAUUAAAAUUAAUGAUAAUUUAAAAUUACGAUAUUCAUGUUAAAUCAACGUCUUUUCCGUAUAAGAAAUAAGGGGUUAGGGUCUGAAGAAUCACCUAAUAACACCAAUGCCUAUAUCAAGUAUAAUACGUCGACAUAGGGUUUCGGUUAGAUUGGAUGAAACUAAUUAUUUAUUAUUGUCUAAUAUAUUUGAUAUUUAAAGAUAAUACCUUAUUAUUAUACUUAUACACCAUCAAAAAUCAUCAUCGUUAAUUUUUAUUUGUAAUUACAACAGUUAUAAAAUAAAUAUUAUAUUAUUUCAAUUCAUUCUAACCAAAUCGACUCGAUAACCUUAUUAUAUCUGUAAGUAUACAUUAGGAGGAGAGUGUGAUUUUUCAGAGCUAAGUCCCUUCGCCACAACUUCCCUGAUCCGAUGAAGAGAACGGCGAUUCAACAUUAAUAUCGUAUGGCCAAUGGCGGACGUUCUUAAAAGUUACAUCAGCUAUUUCAAACGUAGGAGUAUUAAAAAUAUAAAUAUUAUUUAUUUUUUCAAACCUUCUGGCCCGAAAAAUUGUGUGCCAUCCACCACUGAGUGUGGCCAUCGAUAUUUAACAGAUUCAAUCAGUAUAUUAUGCAUAUGAAUAUUUUCGGUAAUCGAUUUGAAAUCAGAUAUAUAAUCAUUGACAUUUUUUUUUAACUGUUCUAUGAAGUACCAGACACUCUU